GGGGUGGGAAGAAUGUUAUCUCUGUUCCCGUUUCCUCCCUCUGGUGCUCCAAAACCCAGCAAUAGGAAAAUCAACAGAGAAAGGAGAGCGAAGCAGCUGCAGGGAGCUGCUUUCUUAGCAAGCUCACCCUUAUUCUGCAGUGCUUAGAUAAGGGAGCAGCGAGGAGGUUACUAAAUUUCUCAGUUGCUGACAAAAUGAGUGAGAAUGUGAAAAUCAUGGUAAUUUUAGGUUCCACAGUAAAGGGCCUCGGCAUCGUAAUACCGGCAGCCGUUGUUCCGUGUGUGUGUGCUGCCGCUGUGAUGAUCACUGUUGCCUGUGUCGCUGAAAGGGUCAUCAAUAAACCCAAUAAUGAAUGAGCAUGAAAGAAUGAAGCUGAACCCGAGCGAGUUGCUCCUUGUCACAUUGUGUGUCUUUGCCCAAGGAAACUAAGCACAAAUAAAUCAUUCAGUUGGAUGUAU
Long non-coding RNA from Podarcis muralis (Common wall lizard), 458 nucleotides. RefSeq lists it as uncharacterized. The record is from RefSeq and is a predicted model, not a curated record. NCBI's taxonomy places the organism in Eukaryota, Metazoa, Chordata, Lepidosauria, Squamata, Lacertidae.